CUGGAACGGUGGCUAAUACCGGAUGUGCCGGAAGGUAAAAGGCUUGCUGCCUAGAGAUGAGCUCGCGUCUGAUUAGCUAGUUGGUGUGGUAAGAGCGCACCAAGGCGACGAUCAGUAGCUGGUCUGAGAGGAUGAUCAGCCACACUGGGACUGAGACACGGCCCAGACUCCUACGGGAGGCAGCAGUGGGGAAUUUUCCGCAAUGGGCGAAAGCCUGACGGAGCAAUACCGCGUGAGGGAGGAAGGCUCUUGGGUUGUAAACCUCUUUUCUCAAGGAAUAAGAUCUGAAGGUACUUGAGGAAUAAGCAUCGGCUAACUCCGUGCCAGCAGCCGCGGUAAUACGGAGGAUGCAAGCGUUAUCCGGAAUGAUUGGGCGUAAAGGGUCCGCAGGUGGCAUUGAAAGUCUGCUGUUAAAGAGUGAGGCUCAACCUCAUAAAAGCAGUGGAAACUACAAAGCUAGAGUGCGUUCGGGGUAGCAGGAAUUCCUGGUGUAGCGGUGAAAUGCGUAGAGAUCAGGAAGAACACCGGUGGCGAAAGCGUGCUACUAGGCCGUAACUGACACUGAGGGACGAAAGCUAGGGGAGCGAAAGGGAUUAGAUACCCCCUGUAGUCA
Molecule: ribosomal RNA, 613 nt
Filed under: Nostoc carneum AUS-JR/MT/NT-125
Lineage: Bacteria; Bacillati; Cyanobacteriota; Cyanophyceae; Nostocales; Nostocaceae
Description: bacterial SSU rRNA
Rfam family: Bacterial small subunit ribosomal RNA
Source: RNAcentral